GUAGGUGGCAAGCGUUGUCCGGAAUUAUUGGGCGUAAAGCGCGCGCAGGCGGUUCGUUUAAGUCUGAUGUGAAAGACCCACGGGCUCAACCGUGGAGGGUCAUUGGAAACUGGAGAACUUGAGUACAGAAGAGGAAAGCGGAAUUCCACGUGUAGCGGUGAAAUGCGUAGAGAUGUGGAGGAACACCAGUGGCGAAGGCGGCUUUCUGGUCUGUAACUGACGCUGAGGCGCGAAAGCGUGGGGAGGCAAACAGGAUUAGAUACCCUGGUAGUCCACGCCGUAAACGAUGAGUGCUAAGUGUUAGGGGGUUUCCGCCCCUUAGUGCUGCAGCUAACGCAUUAAGCACUCCGCCUGGGGAGUACGGCCGCAAGGCUG
RNAcentral lists this ribosomal RNA (375 nucleotides) under uncultured organism. RNAcentral's name for it is "partial 16S ribosomal RNA". It matches the Rfam family "Bacterial small subunit ribosomal RNA", at positions 527 to 896 of the family's 1533-position model. The record is from RNAcentral.